UGUCUCAUGGUGUAAUGGUAGCACAACAGGUUUUGGUUCUGUUUGUCUUGGUUCGAAUCCAGGUGAGACAA
This 71-nucleotide transfer RNA is filed under the name Paludibacteraceae bacterium. RNAcentral describes it as "tRNA-Gln". It matches the Rfam family "tRNA". Rfam says of the family: Transfer RNA (tRNA) molecules are approximately 80 nucleotides in length. Their secondary structure includes four short double-helical elements and three loops (D, anti-codon, and T loops). Further hydrogen bonds mediate the characteristic L-shaped molecular structure. tRNAs have two regions of fundamental functional importance: the anti-codon, which is responsible for specific mRNA codon recognition, and the 3' end, to which the tRNAs corresponding amino acid is attached (by aminoacyl-tRNA synthetases). tRNAs cope with the degeneracy of the genetic code in two manners: having more than one tRNA (with a specific anti-codon) for a particular amino acid; and 'wobble' base-pairing, i.e. permitting non-standard base-pairing at the 3rd anti-codon position. Lineage: Bacteria; Pseudomonadati; Bacteroidota; Bacteroidia; Bacteroidales; Paludibacteraceae. The record is from RNAcentral.